This is a long non-coding RNA of Scylla paramamosain (green mud crab), 1323 nucleotides long. RefSeq lists it as uncharacterized. The transcript has 4 exons. The record is from RefSeq and is a predicted model, not a curated record. NCBI's taxonomy places the organism in Eukaryota, Metazoa, Arthropoda, Malacostraca, Decapoda, Portunidae.
UACUGAACUGCAGAGGAGAAAGGACGUGCAGCUAGAGGAAGGAAGGCAUCGCGUGUAGGUUGAAAUUUCUGGAGAUUGAAAGAGGACAGCUGAGUAGUGCUUGCCUGGCGUUGUGGCGCUGCGAGCGGUGUUCGGGUACCCCUGGCUGUCUUCCCUCACCACCUGCAUUCCUGCUACUGUAGUCAUGAAAUGUUCUCCUAGCGGCGCCACAUUGUCGAAACGACCAGUGGUUUCCAAACUGGAAGGCGCUCCCUACAGGGACGUAGGGAAAAUGAAAGGAGACCGUUAAGUAAUCUGCCCAAAAAUCAUUGUUUAAAAAAUACACAUGGCAAUUACUCCAAGAAAUAAAUAUUUAUUGAAAUGUUUCAUAGUUGUACUAUUUGUUUCGAUUUAAUCCAAGCAAAGCACAUUGUUUUUCCGAACAGUGCAUACGAUACAAACUGUGAAAAUGUAUAAUCUUGUAUAAAAACACAAUAGGGAAGGGAAGGAGGGGCACACUGCUCCUCUAUAAGCAACAAGAAAAGAGGCGUCACGCAAGACAGUUUGAGAACCACUGGUUCAGGACGAACAGUGUUAAAGCCAAAAGACACUUUAGUCGUUGGGUGUUUCAGUCAAAAUCUAAAAAUGUAAUUCUAAGAAAAAAAAAAAAACUAUUUAAGAAUAUAAUACGGGUGGUCGUGGUUUGAGAUGGCUUUGUUUCUUUAGUCUCAUUGCAAACCAUCACUGAGCAGUUAUUGCUCCUAAUAUAGCCAGGGCAUAAAACCCUGUUAUCUAUGCCGUAAUCUACCAUUCCUCCAUAUGGCUUGCUUUCAGACAGUGUGUUAGUUAUACGUACAGUACUUGUAUACCAGCCACGACAGCGACGCUGACGAUUACCUUUGCUCGACUUAGCGCCGCUCACAGCCCCACAGGAAUUCUUUUGACCUCUCUCUCUACGUAUGGACUGGCAUCUCUGGGCCUUUAUUUUUUUCUCUCUUUCUUUUGUCACCCCUCUCACAUAACGAAAAAGAAAAAAAAGCCAGCCCGUAAACUUUCUUCUAAAAAAAAAAAAGAAAAAAAAAAAAAGGUGUGCUUGGCUGUGACGUCUCCUUGGAAUAAGUGUUUUAUAAUUCAUCAGAAUAAAAGAGCGAGACUGCCGGAGGCCAAGGCGGGACAAGUAAGGAGAAGGGUGGAAAAGGGAGCUGGAGAAAAUGGAGGAGAGGACUAACGAAUACAGUGUGUGUGGAAAAUCCAAGACAUUCUGGGAAUAAACCCUCUGAGAAAUCCCUUACCUUCGAAAUGUCUCAACAUUUAAAUUUGGAGUUUUGAUAAAAGUAAUUCACA